CUUAACAGCCUCUAACUAACUGCCUCAACACUCUCCCUCAAAUUGAGGGACGAACAUGUUCUUCAUUCCUAGCUUGCUCCCUGGAUAAUCAUGUUGUGGUCUACACAAGAUUUUUGUAAGUAAGUCAGCCAAUUAAUCUUUAGUCCCAAUAUGUUGAGUUUAUAUUUGCCCUUCUUGAAUCUUCUCUCUUACAAAAUGACAGUUAAUGUCAAUUUAUUUUGUCCUUUUAUGAAUUAUUGGAUGAGCUACAAUCUGAAUUGCAGCUUUACUAUGACAACAUAGCUACACAGACAAGUUUACUUCCACUCCAAGUUAUUUAAACAACCCAAUAAACCAAGUGAUCUUCGCUAUAGCGGAUGCCAUGCUCCUAAACUCUGCUUCAGCAAAGUUCCUCGAGACAACGCUUUAUUUCUUUAUUUCCAGCAUACAAGGCCUUUCAAAACUUCACCAUAUAGUCAGUUACUGAUUUCCUAGUUUCUACAUAUGUCCCCAAUUUGAGCUACACUAUGGUAUGAAUUAUGUGCUUUCACAUGCUGGCAUAAAUAAUCUAACACAUGUUGUGACUUUGAUGUAUCUGAUUGCCCUCAUAGAUGCAUCCAUGUGAAAUUAGGGCAUUUAUGUACUGACUAAGUACCUGGACUACAAAGGCAAUAUCAGUCCUAGUCAUUGUCAAGUAUACAGUCUGUCAAUCAGCCUUUGGUAGCUGCUUCUAUCCUCUAGUUCUUUAUCCGUUCACUAGUAUGUAGAAACUUAUCUAAUUCCACUGCUUGUGAUUGAACUCAAGAGGAGUAGUAGCAGUUCUACUGUCGGCCAAGCUCAUUUCAUACACUAGCUCAAGUGCAUACUUCCUUUGAUUCAUUAGAAUCCCUUCCUUGGAUCUGGAGAACUCAAUACCAAGGAAGUACUUAAGUACUCCUAGAUCUUUCAUCUUAAACCUUGCUUGUAGAUCUUUCCUCACUUUCUGAAUAAGUUCUAAGCUAACGCAUGUCACCAAUAGGUCAUCCACAUAUACUAACACAACUAGAAGAUCGCAGCCUAUCUUGUAUGUAAUUCAAGAGUAAUCAUAAUGAGACUGAACAAAGCGCAUGUCACUCAAAGCACCGGUGAGCUUCAAGUUCCACUGUCUGGGAGCUUGUUUAAGCCCAUAAAGUGAUUUAUGAAGCCUACAAACUUUCUGUUGCUGCUUUAACUCCCUCUGGCUGGCAAAGCUAUCUAGAUGUGCAUAUACACUUUUUCAAGGAGGUCACCUUGAAGAAAAGCAUUGUGUACAUCUAUCUGAAAAAUGUACCAACCAGAUGUUACAGCCAAAUCCACUGCAGACCUCAUAGUAACCAUCUUAGCAACAGGUGAAAAGGUCUCCUUGUAAUCCAAACCUUCUAGUUGGCUAUAUCCUUUGGUAACUAAUCUACCUUAUACCUCUCCACCUCACCAGUAGGUUUAUAAUUCACCUUGAACACCCACUUAUACACAAUAAGAACUUUACCAUGAGGAAGGUCAACAAUAGUCCAAGUCUGAUUAGCUUCUAAGGCUGAGACCUCAGCCUUCAUGGCCUCAAUCCAUUUGGGAUCUGGCUUGGCCUCAGCAUAGAAUCUUGGCUUAACAAAGGCUGAACAAACUGCAAGAACGGCCGUGUAUGCAGCUGACAAAUAAUCAUAGGUAAGGUACUAAGAGAUAGGAUGAGGGAAGGAAGAACCCUUGGUCAGCACUACAUAAUCCUCCAUCCAGAUAGGAGGCUUAGCCAGUCUAGAAUUCUCAAAACAGGUGUAGCAGCAAAAGGAAGAAGAGGUGUAGAGUGAAGAAAUGGACUAGAUUGCUUAGUUAGUAGAGGUAUAAGAGUACUGGAUGAGGCAGAAGACUAACUAAGAGAAAGAUAUGGUAGAUCAAAAGAGCUAAUAUGAUGUAAAGAAUGAUCUUAAAUAUCUCUAAAUUUUGAAAUAGGGAACAAAGGAGAAGAAGUUGUGUGCAUAUUUUUGAAAGGAAAGAUAUCCUCUCUGAACAUAUUGUCUCUACUAACAAAGAAGAGAUGAGAAUGCAAAUCAUAUAGGACAUAGCCUUCUGAACAGAUGAGUAGCCUAAAUGAACAAUAUGAACAGCUCUAGGAUAGAGUUUAUCUAUUUUCCUCAUGUUAGUUGUAUAACAUAAACUGCCAAAAACCUCAAGUGUUGUAAAGAUGGAGCUUUUGUGAAAUUACCUCUCAAAAGGAGAUGCCCCCUUCAGUACAACAGUAGGCAAUCUCUUGUGAAUACAAACAAUAGUGGUGACACAUUCUCCCCAGAAUUAGAGUGGAACAAAUGCCUGAAAUCUCAAGGCCCUAGCCAUGUCAAUAAUGGACCUAUGUCUUCUUUUAACGUUGUUAUUCUGUUAAAUGGUAUAUACACAGGAACUUUGAUGAACUAUGUCAUGCUUCUGUAACUGACUUGUGACCUAUCUGUUAAAAAAUUUAGUUCCAUUGUCUGACCUUACAUACUUAAUAACAUUGUUGAACUGAUUUUUGACCAGUAAUAAGAAGUUUCUCAGGAUCGCAAUAGAUUAUGCCUCAUCAUGAAUUGAGAAUAGCCAAGUAAACCUUGAAUAGUCAUCCACUAAGGUCAUGAAAUAUCUCCUACCAUUAUGAGUAUGAACUCUGUAUGUCCCCCAAACAUCAACAUGUAUAAGAUCAAAUGAUUGAAUAGAACAAGCAUUAUCGAGAGAAAAAGGAAUUCUGGUUUGGAUAGCAACAGGACACACAAUACAAAAGUGUUCUUUCAGCUGAGCAUUAUUAAAACUUCCUAUCUUCUUCAGAACUCUUAAAGGUGCAUGACCUAGUCUCUUGUACCACAAAAAAGUACCAUCUGGAUUCUCGGGAGAAUUCUUAUUUCCUGCAAUAUCAGUGUUUCCAAUUUGUUCACUAACAAUGAUAUUUACAAAGGGAAUAGAAUGAACAAGCCUAAGAUCUAACAACUGCUUGGGAUCUUCUUGUUCCUUGGGCUUCAUAAUGUAGAGACCAUGCUCCUCUUUACCAAUCCCCAUCAGCUUCCUAGUGAAAAGCUCCUGAAACAUACAUAAAUCAGGAAAGAAAGCAACAAAAAUCCUAACUCUUUUGUAACCUUUGACACUGACAUCAAAUUGAACUUGAAAUAUAGUAUAUAUAGUACAUAGUGUACUGACUUAUCCUUGAACAAUGAGAGAUCACCAAUAUUGCUAAUAGCAGCGUGUUAACCAUUAGGUAGUUGGAAUGUAUUUUAUCACUUUCUGAUAGUUUUCUAGUAUUGCUCAACAUAUUUAGAUUAUGAGCCAUAUGAUUAGUAGUACAUGCUUUUAUGAUCAAAUUAUUGCUCAAUAGGUGAGACAUAAAAGAUGUUAUCGUACCUAUUUUAUUCAUGGUUGCAGAAUUAGCCAUUUUAACCUUCUUUCCCUCGUUCAAUAUCUGCAGGAUCUGAUUGUAUUUGUCCUGAGUGAAAGGUGUUGAAGUUUACUAGUUGUUGAAGAAGCACCAACUGUUGAAGCAUGAGAAGGAAGCACACUAGUAGUACCUUCUUGUGGACUGGAUGAAUCAGAAGUUAUAUUGUCAUUGUGUGCAUAUGAACCUUUGGAAUCAAGAGGACCUCAUAUUCCUUUCUUUCCCUUAAAGUCAAUGGGGGUAUCCAUGAAGCUUAUGGUAGUUGUCUCUAGUGUGACCUUUGAAAUGAUAGUAGUCACAUUGAAGAGAUGACUUUAAAAGUUGUUUCUAGGCUUAAAAUAAUGAUUAUAACCACCAGAAGAAGUUUUGUUACUUGGCAAGGUUGUAGGCUUACCAACACCAACAAUAGC
Molecule: long non-coding RNA, 3789 nt
Filed under: Nicotiana benthamiana
Lineage: Eukaryota; Viridiplantae; Streptophyta; Magnoliopsida; Solanales; Solanaceae
Description: long non-coding RNA (NBEN_LNC035285)
Source: RNAcentral